AAACAUCGCCUCCUGCAACAAAACCAAGUAUAGGAGGUCCAGCCUGCCCAGUGACCACAAGUUCAACGGCCGCGGUAUUUUGACCGUGCAAAGGUAGCGCAAUCACUUGUCUUUUAAAUAGAGACCUGUAUGAAUGGCUAAACGAGGGCUUAACUGUCUCCCCUUUCAAGUCAGUGAAAUUGAUUUACCCGUGCAGAAGCGGGUAUAAUAAUACAAGACGAGAAGACCCUUUGGAGCUUAAGGUACAAAACUCAACCAUGUCAAGCAACUUAAUAAAAAGCAAAAACCUUAUGGAAUAUGAUAUUUUACCUUCGGUUGGGGCGACCACGGAGGAAAGAAAAGCCUCCAAGUGGAUCUGGGAAAAUUUCCUAAAGCCAAGAGAGACAUCUCUAAGCCACAGAACAUCUGACCAAACAUGAUCCGGCAACAAAGCCGAUCAACGAACCAAGUUACCCU
Molecule: ribosomal RNA, 456 nt
Filed under: Schizothorax richardsonii (snow trout)
Lineage: Eukaryota; Metazoa; Chordata; Actinopteri; Cypriniformes; Cyprinidae
Description: partial large subunit ribosomal RNA
Rfam family: Bacterial large subunit ribosomal RNA
Source: RNAcentral